GUAGGUGGCAAGCGUUGUCCGGAUUUACUGGGCGUAAAGGGUGCGUAGGCGGACAAUUAAGUCAGAUGUGAAAUCCCAGGGCUCAACCUUGGGGCUGCAUUUGAUACUGGUUGUCUAGAGUGCAGGAGAGGAGAGUGGAAUUCCUAGUGUAGCGGUGAAAUGCGUAGAUAUUAGGAAGAACACCAGUGGCGAAGGCGACUCUCUGGACUGUAACUGACGCUGAGGCACGAAAGCGUGGGGAGCGAACAGGAUUAGAUACCCUGGUAGUCCACGCCGUAAACGAUGAGCACUAGGUGUCGGGGGUCGAACCUCGGUGCCGCAGUUAACACAUUAAGUGCUCCGCCUGGGGAGUACGGUCGCAAG
RNAcentral lists this ribosomal RNA (363 nucleotides) under bacterium MI13. Its description in RNAcentral is "bacterial SSU rRNA". It matches the Rfam family "Bacterial small subunit ribosomal RNA", at positions 527 to 892 of the family's 1533-position model. The record is from RNAcentral.